GACGAACGCUGGCGGCGUGCUUAACACAUGCAAGUCGAACGGGAGUAUUGAAGAAGCUUGCUUUAGAGAUACUUUAGUGGCGGACGGGUGAGUAACGCGUGAGGAGCUGUCCGAUGCAGGGGGACAACAGUUGGAAACGACUGCUACUACCCCAUAAGCCGAGAGGUAAAAGGAUUUAUCCGGCAAUGGAGGUACUCGCGUCCUAUCAGCUAGUAGGUGAGGUAAAGGCACACCUAGGCGAAGACGGGUAGCCGGCCUGAGAGGGCGAACGGCCACACUGGGAGUGAGAUACGGACAAGACUCCUACGGUAGGCAGCAGUGGGGAAUAUUUGGCAAUGGGGGGAAGCCUGACCCAGCGGCGCCGCGUGGGUGAAGAAAUCCUUCGGGAUGUAAAGCCCUGUUGUAUGGGAAGAGCGGAAGACGGUACCAUACGAGGAAGCCCCGGCAAACUACGUGCCAGCAGCCGCAGUAA
This 472-nucleotide ribosomal RNA is filed under the name uncultured bacterium. Its description in RNAcentral is "partial 16S ribosomal RNA". It matches the Rfam family "Bacterial small subunit ribosomal RNA", at positions 28 to 523 of the family's 1533-position model. The record is from RNAcentral.